GAUGAAAGAACGCAGCGAAAUGCGAUACUUGGUGUGAAUUGCAGAAUCCCGUGAACCAUCGAGUCUUUGAACGCAAGUUGCGCCCGAAGCCACUAGGCCGAGGGCACGCCUGCCUGGGCGUCACACGCCGUUGCCCCCCCAUCUACUCCUUCGGGAUUGCGGGGGGGCGGAUGAUGGCCUCCUGUGCGCCUAGCCGCGCGGUUGGCAUAAAUACCAAGUCCUCGGCGACGCACGCCACGACAAUCGGUGGUUGCGAAACCUCGGUUGCCCGUCGUGUGCGUUCGUCGCGCAUCGAGGGCUCGAAAAAAUGCUCGGCUCCGGCUGGGCUUUCAACGCGACCCCAGGUCAGGCGGGGUUACCCGCUGAAUUUAAGCAUAUCAAUAAGCGGAGGA
Molecule: unclassified non-coding RNA, 392 nt
Filed under: soil metagenome
Description: partial contains 5.8S ribosomal RNA, internal transcribed spacer 2, and large subunit ribosomal RNA
Rfam family: 5.8S ribosomal RNA (bases 6-123)
Source: RNAcentral